RNAcentral lists this transfer RNA (73 nucleotides) under Bos taurus (domestic cattle). It matches the Rfam family "tRNA". Rfam says of the family: Transfer RNA (tRNA) molecules are approximately 80 nucleotides in length. Their secondary structure includes four short double-helical elements and three loops (D, anti-codon, and T loops). RNAcentral also lists the same sequence under 2 other names. The record is from Rfam by way of RNAcentral. Lineage: Eukaryota; Metazoa; Chordata; Mammalia; Artiodactyla; Bovidae.
UCCCUGGUGGUCCGGUGGUUAGGACUAUGCAAUUCCACUGCAGGGAAGAUGGGUUCAAUCCCUGGUCAGGGAA